CACGGGGGGAGCAAGCGUUGUUCGGAAUCACUGGGCGUAAAGGGCGUGUAGGCGGUCAGGUAAGUGGAAUGUGAAAGCCCCCGGCUCACCCGGGGAUCUGCAUCCCAAACUGCCUGGCUUGAGUACGGGAGAGGAUGAGGGAAUUCCUGGUGUAGCGGUGAAAUGCGUAGAUAUCAGGAGGAACACCGGUGGCGAAGGCGCUCAUCUGGCCCGAUACUGACGCUGAGGCGCGAAAGCUAGGGGAGCAAACGGG
Molecule: ribosomal RNA, 253 nt
Filed under: uncultured bacterium
Lineage: Bacteria
Description: partial 16S ribosomal RNA
Rfam family: Bacterial small subunit ribosomal RNA
Source: RNAcentral